GGGCUUUCCUCCAUUAUCAUGCUCACGUCCUAAUCCGCUCGGAAGCACCGCAACGGAUGCAUCUUCGACAACCAACAGCCUUCCGUCUCCUCACUCCUUUACGAGCUCAAGGAGGAGGCGCUGUUAUGGGCCAAAGCCGGAGCCACCACGAUAAUGAACCUACUUCCCGAGAUGUACCCCUCAAAUAAAAUGUUGGAGCUGAGCAAGCCCUUUUCCUCUGCUCAGGUGCACUAG
RNAcentral lists this ribosomal RNA (234 nucleotides) under Triticum aestivum (bread wheat). RNAcentral's name for it is "partial small subunit ribosomal RNA". Lineage: Eukaryota; Viridiplantae; Streptophyta; Magnoliopsida; Poales; Poaceae. The record is from RNAcentral.